CCUACGGGAGACUGCAGUGAGGAAUAUUGGUCAAUGGGCGGGAGCCUGAACCAGCCAAGUCGCGUGAGGGACGACGGUCCUAUGGAUUGUAAACCUCUUUUGUCGGGGAACAAAGGCGCCCACGGGUGGGCGGAUGAGUGUACCCGAAGAAAAAGCAUCGGCUAACUCCGUGCCAGCAGCCGCGGUAAUACGGAGGAUGCGAGCGUUAUCCGGAUUUAUUGGGUUUAAAGGGUGCGUAGGCGGACGGUCAAGUCAGCGGUAAAAAUGCGGUGCUCAACGCCGUACAGCCGUUGAAACUGGCAGUCUUGAGUGGGCGAGAAGUAUGCGGAAUGCGUGGUGUAGCGGUGAAAUGCUUAGAUAUCAGGAGGAACAUCGGUGGCGUAAGCGCUUUACUGGGCCGUAAUUGACGCUGAGGAACGAAAGCCAGGGUAGCAAAUGGGAUUAGAUACCCUGGUAGUC
This 459-nucleotide ribosomal RNA is filed under the name uncultured bacterium. RNAcentral's name for it is "partial 16S ribosomal RNA". It matches the Rfam family "Bacterial small subunit ribosomal RNA", at positions 338 to 795 of the family's 1533-position model. The record is from RNAcentral.